CUUCUUUAUCACCGAGUGCUUGCACUCACCGAUAAAGAGUUGAGUGGCGAACGGGUGAGUAACACGUGGGCAACCUGCCCAAAAGAGGGGGAUAACACUUGGAAACAGGUGCUAAUACCGCAUAACCAUAGUCACCGCAUGGUAACUAUGUAAAAGGUGGCUAUGCUACCGCUUUUGGAUGGGCCCGCGACGCAUUAGCUAGUUGGUGGGGUAAAGGCUUACCAAGGCAAUGAUGCGUAGCCGAACUGAGAGGUUGAUCGGCCACAUUGGGACUGAGACACGGCCCAAACUCCUACGGGAGGCAGCAGUAGGGAAUCUUCCACAAUGGGCGAAAGCCUGAUGGAGCAACGCCGCGUGGGUGAAGAAGGUCUUCGGAUCGUAAAACCCUGUUGUUAGAGAAGAAAGUGCGUGAGAGUAACUGUUCACGUUUCGACGGUAUCUAACCAGAAAGCCACGGCUAACUACGUGCCAGCAGCCGCGGUAAUACGUAGGUGGCAAGCGUUAUCCGGAUUUAUUGGGCGUAAAGAGAACGCAGGCGGUCUUUUAAGUCUGAUGUGAAAGCCUUCGGCUUAACCGGAGUAGUGCAUUGGAAACUGGGAGACUUGAGUGCAGAAGAGGAGAGUGGAACUCCAUGUGUAGCGGUGAAAUGCGUAGAUAUAUGGAAGAACACCAGUGGCGAAAGCGGCUCUCUGGUCUGUAACUGACGCUGAGGUUCGAAAGCGUGGGUAG
RNAcentral lists this ribosomal RNA (729 nucleotides) under uncultured bacterium. Its description in RNAcentral is "bacterial SSU rRNA". It matches the Rfam family "Bacterial small subunit ribosomal RNA", at positions 70 to 768 of the family's 1533-position model. The record is from RNAcentral.